UGACCUCUCAUUUAUCCACCAGAGCGUGAAAUGGGAGGAUUCCCCGGAUGAUCAAAAUAAAGUUGUGGAGAAUAUGAAGGAUGAAACAGAGACACAUGAGAACAACAAGAACAGGACUGGAGGCAAGGCUAAACGUAAGUCCAGUGGCAGUGCCAAGAAGACUUCCGUGGAGGAGGACAGCAGCAUUGGUGCAGGUCCGAGAUUACUUCAUGUUGGGUGCAGGUUGUGUUCAAAUUCAUCAGCACUGAUCUGAGAAGAUAGUAUCUAUAUAGGUGAAAGCAAUAUAGUGGAGGCCCGCAGAGAGAUGUGCUUUUACCUGUCCAGUGCAAUCAAAUCACUAAAGGUGAAGGAAAUUAGAUAUAAAGUUCAGAUUCAACUUUAGAUUUCUCUUUGCGGAUUCCCAGAGUCUUCUCAGACACCCGGGUGUGGUUUCCGGGAAAGGGGAUCUAUCAUUGAGCAGCUGGAGAAGGAGGCUCAGAGGACUCUAAUGCCUUCUCUCAAGAUUGGGACAAGCUGUGCCCCAAUCCUCCUCUCCUUCCUAAGGAGUCUAACUGAUGAGCAAGUCCCAUGUCUUUCUCCAACCUCACAUACAACAACUCUGAAUUUAUAGUCAUAGUGCACCUUCUAACCACAAAUGCGAUUUCAAACACUACACCUAACCCUAACAUCACCGUAACCACACCCCUAACUCUUCCUGUAAAUCAAGAACAAAAUGGCUCAUGUACUUGCUAAUAGCUUAAUUAAAUACACUUUUAUUUUCCCUAACAUGGCUAUCUAGUGACUCCACUAACUCAACACCAGUGUGCAGCUAAAAUAUGUUUCCUUUCUUUUCUUUUCUCUAGCCAAUGGAGAGUGAUUCAGCAUGGC
This 867-nucleotide long non-coding RNA is filed under the name Salmo trutta (river trout). Its description in RNAcentral is "lncRNA (ENSSTUG00000048337.1)". The record is from RNAcentral. Lineage: Eukaryota; Metazoa; Chordata; Actinopteri; Salmoniformes; Salmonidae.